CCUACGGGCGGCAGCAGUGGGGAAUAUUGGGCAAUGGGCGCAAGCCUGACCCAGCAACGCCGCGUGAAGGAAGAAGGCUUUCGGGUUGUAAACUUCUUUUGGCAGGGACGAAGGAAUUGACGGUACCUGACGAAUAAGUCACGGCUAACUACGUGCCAGCAGCCGCGGUAAUACGUAGGUGGAAAGCGUUAUUCGGAUUUAUUGGGGGUAAAGAGCGUGUAGGCGGGAAGGCAAGUCAGAUGUGAAAACUAUGGGCUCAACCCAUAGCCUGCAUUUGAAACUGUAUGUCUUGAGUGCUGGAGAGGCGAUCGGAAUUCCGGGUGUAGCGGUGAAAUGCGUAGAGAUCCGGAGGAACACCAGUGGCGAAGGCGGAUUGCUGGACAGUAACUGACGCUGAGGCGCGAAAGCGUGGGGAGCAAACAGGAUUAGAUACCCGUGUAGUC
RNAcentral lists this ribosomal RNA (443 nucleotides) under uncultured bacterium. RNAcentral describes it as "partial 16S ribosomal RNA". It matches the Rfam family "Bacterial small subunit ribosomal RNA", at positions 338 to 795 of the family's 1533-position model. The record is from RNAcentral.